CAGCCGCCGCGGUAAUACGUAGGGGGCGAGCGUUGUCCGGAAUUAUUGGGCGUAAAGCGCGCGCAGGCGGUCCCUUAAGUCUGAUGUGAAAGCCCACGGCUCAACCGCGAGCGGCCAUUGGAAACUGGGGAACUUGAGUGCAGGAGAGGGGAGCGGAAUUCCACGUGUAGCGGUGAAAUGCGUAGAGAUGUGGAGGAACACCAGUGGCGAAGGCGGCUCUCUGGCCUGUAACUGACGCUGAGGCGCGAAAGCGUGGGGAGCGAACAGGAUUAGAUACCCUGGUAGUCCACGCCGUAAACGAUGAGUGCUAAGUGUUAGAGGGUAUCCACCCUUUAGUGCUGCAGCAAACGCAUUAAGCACUCCGCCUGGGGAGUACGGCCGCAAGGCUGAAACUUAAAGGAAUUGGCGGG
RNAcentral lists this ribosomal RNA (410 nucleotides) under uncultured microorganism. RNAcentral describes it as "bacterial SSU rRNA". It matches the Rfam family "Bacterial small subunit ribosomal RNA", at positions 509 to 917 of the family's 1533-position model. The record is from RNAcentral.